Long non-coding RNA from Gordionus sp. m RMFG-2023, 303 nucleotides. RefSeq lists it as uncharacterized. Lineage: Eukaryota; Metazoa; Nematomorpha; Gordioida; Chordodea; Parachordodidae. The record is from RefSeq and is a predicted model, not a curated record. The transcript has 3 exons.
UGGUAUAUAGGAUUUAUAUUAAGAAAUCAUAAUCUCUUCUUAAGAUUCUUAUAUUUAUUCAUUUGAAGUAAAAAUAAUGGCUAACACUAGUAGAGAAAACCAUAGAUUUGUGCUCUGUAUGAUCCAUGUAGCGGAAGAAAAGAUGCAUGAAAGAUGUCUUAUGCCAAAAAAUUUUGGAGUUAUGAUAGAAUAUACCCAAUACCCAAAAGGACUCAAAGCUGAACACUAUAACAAGGCAAAACUUCAAAUUUCUUAUUUUAAAAAUCAUUUUAUAGAAUUGCUAAAGUGGCCUGAUGUUAAAGU